GGAGUUGUGGCUCAGUGGCAGAGUGCUCACCUAGUACGUGUGAGGCACGGGGUUCGACCCUUAGCACCA
Molecule: transfer RNA, 69 nt
Filed under: Marmota monax (woodchuck)
Lineage: Eukaryota; Metazoa; Chordata; Mammalia; Rodentia; Sciuridae
Rfam family: tRNA
About the family: Transfer RNA (tRNA) molecules are approximately 80 nucleotides in length. Their secondary structure includes four short double-helical elements and three loops (D, anti-codon, and T loops).
Source: Rfam by way of RNAcentral